Molecule: non-coding RNA, 15177 nt
Organism: Podarcis lilfordi (Lilford's wall lizard)
Lineage: Eukaryota; Metazoa; Chordata; Lepidosauria; Squamata; Lacertidae
Source: the annotation of a GenBank genome assembly
CAACAACAACAACAUAUACCUGUGCUGUGAUAGCCAACAUAAUGCUGACAGCUUCCCCACUGCUUAUGGCACAUGGGCUCUGAGAAAAGGCCAAAAAUGUCUUCCUUCAAAUUCAGACAUUCUGGGUGAGAGGGCCAGGAGAAUGCCUGUGCCACUGUUGUGAAUUGCCGUGGAUUUUUAAAAACUUAGUUUUUUUAAAAAAAGAGAUUUUUUUAUAUAUUUUUUAAAAAUGUAAGAUUAAAAAACUUUUCUAACCACCAGGGCAUUUUUCUGGCCACCUUGUUCAAAAUGCCUAGCUCAGAAGAGGAUGCCCAUAGCCCAGGCAAGAUAGGGAGGCAGUUGGUGGAGGCAAGCAAGUAGCCAACAGCCGUUCAUGGGAGCCAAGCAUGGAAGGUUACACAACCUUCAGGCCCGGCAGUAAGUGAGCGGCAGGUCAGGUGGGUGACAAGCCCUUGAAUCAUCAUGCAUUAGGUCUGCUCAUGCAAUUCAGUUCUCUUCUAGACCAACCAUAAUUGAUCACGAUACAAUGAUUCCUAGAUUGUGCUCUUUCAUAAUACACAAUGCUCCCCGAUGGGGGGAAAAGUCCCUCUGUACAGAAAACUAGUGUGUCAUGGAGGAAGCUAGAUUAGAACCUUUCUCAUUUGACAUCCACCUUUCUAUGUGCCAGGAUUUUAUUUUAUUUUUUGUACAGGAAAACAUUCCCACUGUGCAAUGAUUGCGUAAGAUGGCACAGUGGGAAAUGUAUUCAUCUGUAUCUGUUCUAAUUCUCUCCAUAAUAUGUGCAUCAUUCCCUGAAGGAUCUUAUUCAGUAAAAGAUUUCUCUCUCUUCAUCCUACUCUCCCAUUAAAAUAAUUGUCUUCCCUCUUACCACCCAUUCAUUACGUUAAUAUAAUACUGCCCUCAGGAAAGCUAAUUUUGAGAAAUACCAAUUUAACAUAUGAAAUGUUCCAGGAAAUUCAUGAUUGUUAUUAUUAUUAUUAUUGCCCCCACUUUUUAAAAAAAAUAAAAUAAAUUCAAGACAAAGUUAUAGCUCCUCUUUUCUAACUUACAUGAGGGUGGUUAUCCUGGUUCAAAACCUUUCAUUUUCAGUUCCCUUGAGGAUUUGCUCAUAGCCUGGAAAGGACAGAGUGCUCCAAAAUGAUUGUAGAUAUAUUAUGUGCUAUGCUUUUGAGGAACUUGAUCACUGACAAGAAUAUGGAAGUCAAAAAUUGGUGGCUAUGUUGGAAUCAAGUGCUCCAUGUAAUGUCCGCUAAUCAAGUCUGUUAAUGUAUUCUUUUUUGGGGGGGAGGUCUUCAAAUAGAUUAAGGUCUCGUCCCAAACCAUCAAGCCACCACACUUGGGAAGCAGGAGGGCUGAGCAGGCAGAUGUUUCUGUCCAUUCAUCCCAAAACAGUCCAGCUGGCUUCCACCUCUGUUUUCCUCCUCUGGAAUAACUCUCUGCUCCACCCACUGAAGUGUGGGUGGAAGUCAUGCCAGUGGAAUUGCCACUGGCAGUAAUCCACAGAAAGCCCUCAAGAAAUCUCCACUGGAUCCUGAUCCCAACCUACUGCCAUCACUUGAUGCCAUCAAGCCCAAUUGCUAUGGCAACUUGAGGUGGACAUAGCACAAAGCAAGAUUUCGCUUGUCCCCCCACCAGCUUCCACCCUGGCCUGCUUUUUGUCCUGCCCCACUGCUGCCAGGUGGGGAUCAGUCCCUCCUGCCCAUUGCAGUUGUUUUUAAAUAUGCACAGGAGUUCAUUUCUACAGAUAAUAAUAAUAAAAAUAUUAUUUAUCCCCCACCCAUUUGCAAGUUCUCUCAGAUUUACCUUUUUCCUAACAUGAAGAGUGUUCUGUUAUUGGGUUAUUAAUGCCUCUUUAGCCAAAAUAUCUCUGAAUACUCUCCUUUUUCCAUCCCCUCCUACAGUUUUCACACUUCUCCAGCAUAAAUUCAGAUAUUUUCUUUUCCUUCAGAAUGCUCCAAACACAAACACACUUGCUCUCCCACUAAGGAACAGAUUUUCUUUCUACCAGGCUAACAAUAACAACAACAAAAAUAUUUUGUUUAAUUCAGGACGGCUAAUUAACCUUUUUGAGGUAGUUUGGACAUCUGAGCCAAUGUGCUCUGAGCGCUAUUUUAAAUAACGUUCUCCCUUGACCGUUUCCUUUCUGUUAAUAUAUUAAUUCCUAGAAUAUCAUGUCUACUUCUUCUUUGGGCAUCUUUUCGAAGAAAUUCCCAGAAUGGUGGAAAGGAAGGGGUUUGAUGGGCUGUGAUCUUAUGCUCACCUAUGUGAGAGUAAGCUCCCCUGAACUUAGUGAACUACAUCUGACUAAGCAUUCUGGACAGGACUGGAAAAGAAGUUGAACAGAAGCAUCUCACUGAGAUAAUACAUUAGGUUCCUGCAGUUGUGUUGCUGUUGUUUACCAGGAGUGAGAGGAGUGAGAUGGCAGGAAGGUCAGCGUAGUGCAAACACAGAAGCAGAAAUACCCGAGAUGCCUGCACCAGUUUGUUUGCACUGUAUUGACCACCUGCUCUCCCUUCUGAUAAGCAACAGCAACUCCUCUGCCAGGAAGCCAGUGCAGCAAGUGACCUGGCAAGUCUAGUGAUCUGCUGAAGUCUGUUCUCCAAUCUCUCAGACUCCACCCCCCCUGUAAAAGAGGUUUCCAUUUUUCUGACCCUUCCCUAGAGUACUUUAGAACUUAGGUGGGUGUGAUGUAUCACGCUUACCUUACUAUCGUGAGGUGCCUAAGGGUGGUGUAAGUGUCUUUUUCCUUUCCAGUAAACACUUCUCCAGCACCCUGCAGCCUCCCUGGAUGCCCGUCUUUCACGAUCUGAAAACGCCCCAUGAAAACAGCGGCCUCGUGACAUUUUGCCCUGGGCUUAAACUGAAGUCUGGGCACCUGGGAAGACCACAGAGUGCAGAUGUGAUAGGAAUUUUAUGGUCUUAGAUAUAUGGUAAUGUUCAUAUGUGUACCAACCAAGCACGUACAUAGAUCAGCACAGGAAGACCAACCUGGAACCAUUUUGAUUACUAAACUGAGCAAAUGUUUUCUCUGUAAGGUCAAAGUGGGAAACCUCCCCAUUGUCUCUUUCCUCACAAAUCCUGUCUUAAGGGUAUGUCUGUGUUUGGAUAGGGUGUGAGCCUGUGACAUGGCCCAGGAACUAAGUAUUUAUGAUUACAAAAGACUCGCCAGGCUCCCCAGGCAAUCCAAUCAAGUAACCUGCCAGACAGGAGAUAAACAACGACAGGAGAAAAACAACAUUCAAAUUUCUGUUUUAGACCACCUUUUCUGUGAUGUAGGUAUGAUGUAUCUGAGGGGUGGUCUUAGGUUACACCCCUUCUGUGAUUUAUGUAUGAUGUUUCUGGGGGUGGUCUUGAUCUACAGGGUGGCAAUUUCAAAAGUCUUUAUAAGGCCUUGCACGCCAUUGUUCUAGGUUCCUCCUCCUCUCCUGCGGGUGAGGGGAGCACCCUGUUGCAACAGAUCAAUAAAGCUCAAGCUUACUAGCUGCUUUGCUUCUCAAUAUUCUCUGGUUGGCCUCUGUUAUUUUCUCCUACCAAUAGGGAACCUACGUAAGGACUCUAUAUGGGCUCUUGGAUACCCCAUAAGGGAAAGGGGCAAUUUUUGUUUACAGCAGAGACCACUGGUGAGAUGAUUUGUAGACAAAGACAGGUCAGGCACAAACACUCCCCACCAACUUCGAGAGCGAGGUAAACAUGACAAAAACCCGGCGUCCUUCCCUCUUGAAUUUCUCCAAACAUUUCCCUCCCCUUUCAUUAUUUUCAAAUGGAGUUUCUUUUCUCAUUAAUUGAUGGAGAAUGGUUGAGGCCGUGGUGAAGGGUGGGCCUGGCAGAAAUCUCCAGCACAGCAUUAGUUUGAAUAGGAUGAAAUCCUUUUCAGUUCAGAGCUGCGAGAGGUUAGGCUUAUGUUUUAUCCCCUUCACAAACCACUUCAUUUCCCCUCAUGCCUUUCUAGAUAGUUAGUACUGGAGGCAGCACUUUUUUUUCAUUUUCCGAAUUAUCUGACAUUCUUUAGGAGUUGCCGUGCACCCUCAUCCUCCCAUUGCUGGCGCUCCUAUGAGGAAUUUUUAACCAGGUGGGCAACGACAAAUGAUGUGGCAGUCUUGCUAUUGUCUCCACCCUGCCCCUGGCAGGUGGUAGGAUACAACUUUCAUCUCUCCUAUUAGAAACCGACUCAUGCAGUGGUUUGCUGGUGGGCUAUUCAUUUGUUCCACUCGUUGCCACUGUGGUCCCAGCUGCACUAUGCAUUUGAGGCAGUAUCAUACCUCAGAAAUGGUUUCCUCACAAAAUAAUCCUGAUUUGAUAGGGCUGCUAAGAAUUCUUCACAGGCCAUGAUUCCUCUCAGAGCUACAGUUAGCCAGAGUCCCCUGGGAAGAGGAAUUUAUUGUUAAACAACUCUGAGAACCAUAUCUCUGGGGGGCGGGGGGGUGGGAGAUAACAGGGAUCUCCUAACAACUCAUUGCACCCUUAACAAACUACAGCUCUCAGGAUUCUUCAGGGGAAACCAUUUUGGCUUAAAGUGGUAUCAUACUGCUUUAAAUGUACAGUCAUACCUCGGGUUACAGACGCUUCAGGUUGUGUUUUUUUGGGUUACGGACCCUCCAAAACCCAGAAGUACCUGAACGGGUUACUAUCGGGUUUGGGGGGUCACGCAUGCACAGAAGUGCUAAAUCGCACUUUGCGCAUGUGCAGAAGCACCAAAUCGCAACCCGCGCGUGCGCAGAUGCGCCUCUGCGGGUUGCGAACGCUGCAGGUUGCGAACGUGCAUCCCGCACAGAUCACAUUCGCAACCCGAGCGUCCACUGUACAGUGCAUAUGUAGUGACAUUGGGGUAGAAGAGAUGUUUUCUUCAUUUUGAUAUUCUCUUCAUUUUCAGUACUAAAAACAUUUCUUUCCUUUACUCUUCCUUUAAGAUCAAAGCAGUGUUAUACCCAAGUUAGAUGCUGCACCACUGAGCCAUGGCCCAGGGCGGAGGGGAGAGAGGCAGAGUCAAAUAUUUCCAAUUAUGAACGAAAUAGCAUUUCUUAUCUCCAGCUCUACAUGUGUUUUCUCCUUAUAAGAUAAGGGGGAGGGGAAAUAAAUAAAGGGGAAGCAAAAAUAAGAAUUGUGUAGUAUCCAUCCUACUGAGUGGGCAAAAGUCAGGCAAAUGCUUAUCAUUUUUAUUAUUAUUACAACUUGCAAAAGAUAAAAUAUUCAGUUUCUACACACACACAGGGUUAGUCGCCCCCCCCCCCGAACAAUGUGCAAAUUCACCUGGUGUUGCUUGGCUUCUCUGUAAUUUGCUCAGGUCACACGCAAAGCAUCUAAGCUUAUCUUAGUAAAAAUGUGGGAAACGUUGACUUCCUCAGAUUUAGCAAACAUCUUCAAAGGACAGGGUGAGGGAUGGGGAAAGCGUUUUCAAAGAGCAGAUAGGAAGCUUUUCUAAUCUGGAACAUAUGCUUAACUGCAACUGGAAGUGAAGAGUUUCACAUGAAUAUAUAUAUAACACAUAACUUACUGCAGAUCUAUGAAAACAGCAUGAUUAUCAUGACAUUUACUCCUACUUGAACAAUCUCUGGAAGAGAUACAUGACAGCUUUACCGCAGGAGACUGUCCCUGUUCUCAGACAUACCAAGAAACCAUCAAGGAAGUGAAGCUGCUAGCCCUACACAGCCCCCCCCCCCAAUUGAGCAGUAAAAGAAAAAGUCUUGUGGGACUUCCAAGCUCCACUUAAUCAGAAGAUGCCAUUGUUUUCCAGGUAUCUCAGUGUGAUUUCUCCUGCUCAGAGAAGGUUGGUCCUUCCCCCAUCCAUCUCAGUCCAUCCUCAACUAGUCUCACUUUUUACUUAGAACCAGACCAUGUCUGUCAACACCCUCCCUUCUUAGUCUAAGUGUUGCCCUUGUAGAACUCAGCUGGGGGAGGAUGGGGACAAUUCUAAAAUUAGUGGGCUCUGCCUGUCACUUUCACUGACUCUGCCCACUAUUGCCUGCCCUGCUUUCUACCCUACCAUUCCCAAAGGGCAUUCGGGUACCCCUAGUCCUGCUUUUCCUCCAAGUAACCCAGAUUUGUAUGAGAGAGAUGUAAUCCCAUGUUUACCCUCAAAACAGCUGCUCCCUAACAAGAAGAUCCGGGUGAGGUUGGCAUGAAGUCACUUGGAUGCUCAGAGAUUGGAUCCAUAGUUGUCCAAAUCCAAAACUCUAUCUGCUACAAGAAUUUAUAUGCCACCAUUUAUAUCCCCCCCAGAGGCUUACAUAAAAAGCCAUAAAACUGACCAAAACAUGACAUAUACUGUAAAACAUUGAAGUAUGACUAUAUUGAAACACAGCAAUUAAAUCAAAAUGGAGCACCAAUAUUAAAAAGAAAUCUCAAAUCAUAAGAAAUUAUUCAGGCUCUGUUUAAAAGCCAGUAGAGUGGGGAAUCAAACAUAUCUUUUCGGGAGAGAAUUCCACAAGCACUGAACAGAUCAGGACUUCCUAUUCUGUUAUCUUUUAUGUUGUGAAAUGGCCUGAGAUCUACGAAAGAAGGGUGAUAUACAAAUUUAAUUAAUAAUAAUAAUCCGUGCUGUAAAGCUAACCUGCUCUUCUGACUGCCUAUCAAACCUAGUUAUAACCAAGAAGAAUUUCAUUUUGUUAUUUCAUUUAAUUGUCAUUUUUCUCACAGCUGUGCCAUCACUGUAUCAUCAUGGCUACUAGUUUGGGAUUAUUUUGUGUGUAACCAGGAGCAGAAGCAAACAGGUGGGCGGCUGCAUCUUUCUUCCAUGGUUCAGAUAACUCACAUGGUGCCAUCAGUGUAGGACUUUAGGGCAGACAUCUAGGGACCGCUGAGCUGAAUGAGCAGGAGAGCCUCUAAACACAGCUAGUACUGUGCCAAAGAUUUCUUCAUUUUUUAAAAAAUGAUUCACCACUGGUUAAUGAGAAAACAAACUGCAUUCAAAAAAUCAUUAGAGGGGAGAGAAAACGUUGAUGAAAUUCUCUUGCAUGGGUGUCUUUCAGUGAUCAGUUUACUUUUGAGUUUGCAAAGGGGAGAUGCAAGUGUAAUUUCUUUCAUUCUGGAAAUAAUCUGUCUUGCAGUCCACACUUUGCAGCCCUCCCAGGUGCCCACCAUCCCAGAAAACAGCACAACAUCUUAGUGCAGGAGGUUAGGAAAGUCCUCCAUCAUGCAUUUGACAGUUGGCCGUUGCUUGCUUUUAAGUGAAAUAAAUGCAGGUGAUAGGUAAAAGAAAGCGCAAAGAUCUCAUCAUCAUCAUCAUUUUUUAUUUGUAUGCCGCCUUUCCACAGUUAAAAAAACAAUGCUCAAGGCGGCUUACAGCAUAACAAGAUUUACAUAAUUACAAAGGCAUAAACAAUAAAUAAACCACAUCAAAAAAAAUACACAACCAAAUGGGAAACAAUUUCCACAUAAAUCAAAAUCUAAGACUAAGAAUACACCAUUCAUAUCAGAGUUUAAAAUGACAUAGGUAAAAAAAAACAACCCACCCACCCCCCAGGCACUUGGUAGCCAGUUUUCAACGUUUCAAUUGAAAUUCAAGGGGGAAAUGUUAUGAGGUAACUCCACCCACGUGGAUUUUUUUUCCAGACUUGGAAGCACAGGCAGCCAGGGAGGCUGCAAAGCACUGGACAAAUGUUUACUAUAAAGAGAAGCACACCCACCAGCCUUGGACCCUUUGCAGUGAUAAAGGGAGCUCAAUCCCCCAAACACACUGAAAUUCUAAAGCAGCACCCUGUGAAUGAAGAAGCCACUUUUGUGGGGAAGAAACCAUUUGAAAUGUUUCAGCACCGUGCUGCACCACACGCAGCAUCACUGGCUUGCCACAUUUUGAAGUAAACAAAAUAAUAUACAUUACUAUCUAAAGAAAACCCUCCUCAUAUUAAGUCAAAAUCCACACCAUACAUUUAAAACACUCUUAUACUGCCUUAAACAGUGGUGUGACUUCCUCCCAAAUAAUAAUGGGAACUGCAGUUUAAAAGAUGCUAUCAUCAAUUUCCAGAGUUGUUUAACAACCAAUCCCUCUUUGCAGGGAACUCUGAGAAUUGUAGCUAUGGGAGGAAGAAUAGGUAUCUGCUAAAAACUUUCAGCACGCUUAACAAAUUACAAUCGCCCAGAUUUUGUGGGUGGAGAGCCAUGACUGUUAAAUAUAUAGUGCAGAUGUGCCCUCACAACUUGUGGCUGAAGCUUACACGUUUCCCCUGUGCAAGUUCUUCUGGAAUAGUAAAAGGAGGGGUGCUUUUUCUUUUUAAAAACAGCACUGUGCAAGGGCUUACUCCUGUGCUUCACAAUGUUGUGGCUAACAUACAAAGCUGUUCUUGAUACAAAUUAAAUAUCAACUUAUGGAAACUUUUUUUAAAAACUUCUUGUUUUAUCUCAUUUUCUCCAUCCUUGCCCAUCUUCUCCAAAAAAACAACAACAACCCCUAACUUAUGGAAAUGCACUUCAAUCAAGGCCUGUAUGGAAAUAUAAUCUUCUCAUUAACAGAAUCCACAAAACAGUUGUAGGAUGUACAAGGCAGAAUCAAAAUCGGUAUUACAUAUUCAAGAGGAUGAUUGCUCCCAAAAUAAUCUCAUCCCUUUUAUUAGGCUCUCUGGAGGGAAAUCUUGAUUGCAGGAAAAUUGUUCCUCCCCAGCCUCCCACAAUGAGCAAGUACCACUUCCCAAGGGGAUAAUUAGCACUCCUCCAACAUCAGUCUCCUCCCUCUCUUCCCUCCCACCUUAAACUCCUUGAUGUUUAGAAGUUAAAUCACAACACCAUCAAAACCACUGCAGAUACCGGUGCGAUUCUAGAUGAUCAAUGGUCUAUCUGGUCCUAAAGAAAAACAAACCAUAGUUGCCCACCAUUUCCUGUCUCAUUAUAAAAAGUUCACCCGGAUGAAACACACAAUUAAGAUGUACUAAUUAGCUGACAACGUUCUUUCACACUUUCCUGCCGAAGCAAUUAUUUAAUACUUGAAGUAUUAGAGAACAAGCUACCCAAGCCUGGAGACUCAUGUGGUUCAGGUCUUCCUGAGCUGUACUUCAUGCCUAGGGAAUCACACAAGUUUAUACACGCUCCUACAUAUAUAUAUAUAUAUAUAUAUAUAUAUAUAUAUAUAUAUAUAUUUCUGCACAUAGACGUGUAUCAGAUCGGGAAGAAGGCUAGGCAAAAACAUUCAUCCCUUGCAUGCAGAUUAUCUGUUAGCAGGAAGGCUUUUGUAAUACCAAGAUUCCUCACCUGAAAUCUGAAAUCGCACUUAUUGCUUGUAUUAAGAACAUCAUAAGAACCUGGCUGCUAGAUCAAGUCAAAGGCACUAACUUUAACAUCCUGUAGACAACAGUGGUUUUAAUUAUCAGGCCUUUGAUGGGCUUUAACAUAGAACGUUUUUAAAUUGCUGGGUUAUUGCUUGUUUGUUUACUACUGAUUAAUUUGGGAUCCAUUUUGUUUUGUUUUAAGCCGGGGUAGGCAACCUAAGGCCCGUGGGCCAGUUGUGGCCCAAUCGCCUUCUCAAUCUGGCCGGCAGACGGUCCAGGAAUCAGUGUGUUUUUACAUGAGAAGAAUGUGUCCUUUUAUUUAAAAUGCAUCUCUGGGUUAUUUGUGGGGCCUGCCUGGUGUUUUUACAUGAGUGGAAUUUGUGCUUUUAUUUAAAAUGCAUCUCUGGGUUAUUUGUGGGGCCUGCCUGGUGUUUUUACAUGAGUAGAAUGUGUGCUUUUAUUUAAAAUGCAUCUCAGGGUUAUUUGUGGGGCAUAGGAAUUCAUUCAUUUCUCCCCAAAAAAUAUAGUCCAGCCCUCCACAUGGUCUGAGGGACAGUGGACCGGCCCAUGGCUAAUAAAGGAUGCUGACCCCGGUUUUAAGCUUUUAAUUCUCAUGUCACGCUAUUAAUUUGUCAAUGUUAUUUAUCUACCUUAGAUAUUUCUUCAAACAAAAAGGUGGCUAUGAACAUUUUAAAAAGUUAAUAAGAUCCCAGGCUUUUCUGUUCUCAUUUCAGCCCAAAGAAACAUUUCUGAAUUGUCAUAAUUCAGAUGAAUUGGCCCAUCAGAAACUCAAACCAGGAACGGAACAGGAAUUGCGCGAUCUAGAUAUACUAUAGUCAAUAUGUUGCGUGUUAUCUUUAACAUAUUCCUUGAGAGCCUUUGUAAGUAAUUAUUUUAUCCAUGCCAUGCUGUAUUUUACGCUCGGGUAAAUUUAGAUGAAAUCCCAAAGUUAUAAAGCAUAUUGUAGCAAAGACAUUUAAUAAGGAUUAAUCUGCAUACCUCUCCUUUAUUUUUUUCUUCAUUUGCCAUCAUUAUGACUCUAAUUGUGAUUCCGUUGUAUUGUUAUGCAAAUCAGAGCCAAUCCAGCAUAUGAAAGGCAAUGUUCUAGUGGCUUGACUGUUGCUAAAUAAAGAAGCCAUUUUGAGACAGCUUCACACACAAUCCUAUGAAAAGCCCCUCAGUUGUGGAUGCUGUGUUGAAACCAUGAUACAAUCUGAAGCCUUGCUCUGUAUCUCCCUCACUUUACUGAAAUGAGAACCAACUUCCUAAAUGAGAGUAAUUAAUCAAUCACAUGGUUCCUAGAACUGUUAGCAUAUUCAAGGGCAUGUAAUCAUCUCUCUGUUUAGUGAAACUUUAAUAGCCCAGGGAUCCAGAAGUGAUUAUACUACAACUUUCAUCAACCCUGACCAUUGACGAUGCUAACUGGGGCUGAUGGGAGUUGUAGUCUACAACAUCUUGGUCAGGUGGCUACUUGCAUAACAGAAGCAAUGGUUGCACAACACUGUGCCUACUUUAUCAUGUUCUUAAACCAUACACCAGGCUUCCUCAAACUUGGUCCUCCAAAUGUUUUGAGACUACAAUUCCCAUCAUCCCUGACCACUGGUCCUGCUAGCUAGGGAUCAUGGGAGAUGUAGGUCAAAAACAUCUGGAGGGCCAAGUUUGAGGAAGCCUGCCAUACACCCUUAAUAGAGCUCUAUCAGCAGAAGAUUUACCUAUUCACAUCAAUGAAGAACGGCAAUUUUUUAAAGCAUAGUACCAAACAAUCUGAAAAAUGCAGAAGGGAAUUAGCACGUUCAAUACUAAUUUUCUUUCUACUCAUCUUAACUGACUAAGGCUGCAGUCCUAUAGACCCUGGGAUGGCAUCCCUAUAGGGUGUUUUAGGAUCUCCGAGAGAGAGAGAGAGAGAGAGAGAGAGAGAGAGAGAGAGAGAUGCUCCCAGAGAGGAAAGUUGUCUUUAUGAGGGCCCUUCCAUGCUGACCUGCCCAGUUCUUACAAUCUCUUCGUAGUGACACCACCUUCUGUGGUUUGCAGUCAAAUGCUCUACCACUGAGCUAUACCCCCACUUUCUGUGGUUUGAAAGGUGGCAGCAUGUGAAAGGACCUUCUCUGUGGUGGCCCUCAGGUUAUGGAAUGACCUUGCUCCAAAACUGUUUCUUGGCUGCCGCCACUGUAUGCUUUUCAAUAAUUGGUCAAGAUGCACCUCUUUACCCAGACCUUUGCUUGAAUGGGUAUCUCCCCUUCUCUUACAUUGCUGCACACAGCAGUUAUGUGCUACUGUUUUGUUACUCUGAUAUCAGGGGUGUAGGUGUGGGUGUGUUUUUUAAAAAAAUUAAUUGUACAGUGGUACCUCGGGUUACAUACACUUCAGGUUACAUACGCUUCAGGUUACACACUCCGCUAACCCAGAAAUAUUACCUCGGGUUAAGAACUUUGCUUCAGGAUGAGAACAGAAAUCGUGCUUCGAUGGUGCAGCGGCAGCAGGACCCAUUAGCUAAAGUGGUGCUUCAGGUUAAGAACGGUUUCAGGUUAAGAAUGGACCUCCCGAACGAAUUAAGUACUUAACCCGAGGUACCACUGUACAUUGAAUUUCUUACAACUGUGGUAUUUUUUUUUUUAUUUUUUGCAAUUUGCCCAGGGACCAUUUAAUGAAGGGUGAACUAUAAGUACAAAGAACUAAUAAGUAAAUAACUAAAUCAUGGUUGAAAUCAAAAGUACUGGGCAUAAUGUUGAAAAGAAGAAUGAGCUUCUUUUGCGGAAUUAGACGGCAGCAGCCAAAGUGGGGGGAAGAGUACGGUUCCUGCAUUGCUCUCAGUCUGUGACUCAUCUUCUGGGAGUGGGACCAGAUUGUCUUCUUGUUCCACUUGCAUGAGAGGGAAAUGAAUCCCGAGCAAAGUCAACAUGCUGCCAAGAGUGUGUAAAAGAAUGCCAGCAUCUGUGGUCCAUUCUUCUAAAUUGCAGUUGAGUAAGGUGGCUUUUGUUGUUGUUUGUUUAAAAAGGAACAGCCCGCAUCUUUAAAAAAAGAAAGAAAAGCUCUCCGACUUGUAUAAGGUGUUUUGAGGAGCUUAAGGAGACCCGGAGGGGGAAACAGGUUUCAGGGACGUUUACAGGGUUGGACUUGGGUUGUCUUUCAAAAUAUGACACCCUGUGCAAAGCCCAAAUUUGGCACCUCCAAAUGGAUCUUCUCAAUUAUGGAUCUUCUCAAUUUUCCAUCCACUCAGCUCAGUGCUCUGUGCAGGGAACCUCCUGCACCACCCUAAAUCUGACGCUGACAUCUGGGAUUGUGGGUGGAAAAGCAGUGCAUUAUUGCCCUAGAAUAUGCCAGGGACUGGGCAGAGGAGGAAUGGUGGAGACCGCCUCCCCAGCCUGACCCUUCUAGAGAAGAAGAAGACAGUUCAGAAUUACAGCAGGGGGUUGAGGGAGGUCACAGCUCAGAGGAAGAUGAGGGGGAAAGUUGGGAAAUAAUGGGAGAGGAGGAGGAGGAAGAGGAAGCACCAGGGGGUGACAGCUGGCAGACACAGUGUCUUUAGAAAGCAUUCCAGACCCCACCCCUCUCCCAGAACCUGGUGAGCCUUGAAAGUAGGAGAGCAAAUAGCUCAAAGGCAGAGGGCGCUUGUCCACACCCAUAGAGCAGAUGAGAAUGACUAAUGAGGAAGUGGGAGAGACAGGGGGACAGACACUAGGGACAAUGCCAUUAUUCAAAAAGCUGGGUUCUAAAGCCUCUCUCUGUAAAUACUGAAUAAAAAGCGGACGUUAAGAAGCAUUUCCUUGUCUUUGUACGUUCCUGGGCAACUGGCUGUGGGAGUUGCUGGCAGCCUCCUGACAGAAUAACAAACCCUGCUAAAUCUGAGCUCAUGAUAUAGAUACAACAAUUCUCAUGCUGGGAUUUCACUUAUGGAAGAGCGGAGUGUACAACUACAUAAAUAAAACCCUCAGAAAUGCCACAUGCAUUUCUCACAUGGGUGAGAGAGAUAUGUUAAACCUUCCCUUCCCUGCUGUAGUCUUGAGGAAAAUCUGUCCCCAGAAGCUGCUGUAGUGGAAGAAAGUCUCCCACUGACAGAAAUGGGAGAUUUCCCUCCCAAGGCUAAUACCACCUUCAGAGAAGGGAUCUAUUCAUUAGGAACAUAGCAAGGUAAUAAAGGGUUAAAUUAAAUUCAGAUAAUUAUCACAUUGUGUUUUUAAUAGUCUGUUAGGAGCUGCCCACAGUGGCUGGGCAACCCAGUCAGAUGGACGACAUAUAAAUAAAUUUAUUAUUAUUAUUAUUAUUAUUAUUAUUAUUAUUAUUAUUACAUGUCCAGGUUCAAUCCCCAUAUGGGACAACUGCAUAUUCCUGCAUUGCAGGGGGUUGGAUUAGACAACCCUCAUGGUCCCUUCGAACUUUACAAUUCUAUGAAUCUAUGUGCGUGCACACACACACACAGCUGAUGCAAUUUGCAUUUAAAGAAGAACCUGUGCAUUAAAUGCAAAUAUACUUCUACUUUAACUUCUGUUUUGUCAGUCUAUUAGACCAGGGGUUCCUGCUAAAGAGUUGACUGGAAUAUGUGCACCAUUUCUUCAGUGAAAGGGUCACUUGAGUAUCCCACAUUAUUAACAAACUUCACGCUCAUCCAUGUGCAUUAUUUCAAAGCGAUUUAUUUCUUAUUUGGCCUGUCUUCAUUAAGAUAAAUAAGCCAUGCUUGACAAAUGGUAUCAUCAACCUAACCUGAAUAUUAUUGUUUAAAGAUGCUAAUGAAGGUACCUUUUUUUCAAAAAGAAAAGAAAAGUAGUAGACCUGAAAGUUUCCCCGUUCAAACAAAUGAGUCAAUGUAUGCAGAAGAGGCUGUGCGGUAUGUUGUUUUUAUUAAUGCUUUGGGAAACUCUGCACUAAUAAGGCCUUUUGUUACAAAUAAACAGGCUAUUAAGUAACAACUGGGGUGGCGAAGCUCACUGUUCGUUUUAGCUCUUCUGUUUGUGGAUGCAGUGAAAUUAUCAGGCAGUGCUUAUUAUGGCUGACAAUUGCCAGGACUAAAUUGUAGAUGAUUUCUCCCUCUCUCUCUCUCUCUCUCUCUCUCUCUGCUUUUCUGGCUGCUUUGACAUCCCUGAGCCAGGAUGACUCCUCCUUAGAUGAAAACCCUAAUGAUGAUUCCCCAAUGACAGAAAUGACCAAGACUUUAUGGGGCCUCCUGAUUCCAGCACUAUGCCAGGCAUAGCCAGCAUCUCCAGAGAAGUGACAGCAGGCCCAUCCGCAGCAGGAGACCCAUGGAGGAGGAUCCUGAGUGGACCACAGUGGCUCUCGCACCUGCAGAACAGAUGGAGGAGGUUGACUCCUCAGGGAAUGCCCGGGUCAGAAGACUUCGUAUGUCUCAAGGUCCAGAAGAACCAGGCUCUUUGGGAAUAAGAGGCCUCUUCAGAAUGAAGAAACCUUGAAGGCUGAAUCCAGGCAACCAGGUUGCAUAAGCUCCUCUCAGCUAGCUGAAGAGUAUAAGAGUAUAAGCCCAGGUCUUUAACAACCCAGUUUAUUCUUCUGGCUACCUCCCCUGACUGAUCCUGUGCUACUGACCCCUGCUAAUAUUUUGCUUUUGAAAACCUACCUAGUUCUACAUUGCUUCAUGUGCAAUGUCACACUUCCCCUUAUGACCUCACCUACCUUUGGACCUAAGCUGCUCCUUAGGACCCUGUAUUUCUAGGUUGUCCUAAUAGCUGACUGCAACCUUUAUCCACUGGUGUUUAGGCACCCUGUCCUGGGGCUCUCAUUUCUCCUUUGGCUUUGCUCAGGGACGAAGCAGAGUAGAAAUCCGUAAUUGAGCACAGAAGCAACAACAGCAUAUGCAGUGAUAUGGUGGUGAAUUUCGAAGUGCCAAAGCUCACCAUGACAGCCAUCCUAAGCAUCCCCCCACAAAGUGAGUCCCAUAGCUAUGCUCUCAUGGAGAAUCCAAAAAUGCAAGCCACUGUGUUGGUCCAUUAUUAUUAUCACACGCCAAAGAGCAGCAGUACAAAGUACAACACCC